This is a long non-coding RNA of Rhagoletis zephyria (snowberry fruit fly), 435 nucleotides long. RefSeq lists it as uncharacterized. The record is from RefSeq and is a predicted model, not a curated record. Lineage: Eukaryota; Metazoa; Arthropoda; Insecta; Diptera; Tephritidae.
CCUGGUGGUCCAGGCACCGAGUGGACGGAUUAUGCCUCGGCAGGUGGUCAAGGCCAGGCACAACAGCAGCAGAAUGCAACAAACGCAAAUUGGGUGCAAUUCUAAUUAGGUUUGAACAAUUAUAUAAAUACAUAUACAUAAACUCAUUCAGAGAAGCAUAAAAGUAAAUGUAUGUACAUUAAUAACAUACUAAUGCUAGAAAGAUUUAACAACAAACAAAGAAAGCGAACAAGAAAACUAAACAAGAAGCUUUUGGCCAGAAUCGUAUUGCAUAUAAUUUAUUGCAUUCAUGUUAGUAAUAUUUUGCGCGGCUAUGUAUAAGUACAUGUAACACUAAUCAUACAAUAUCGACAAUUUAACGAAAUUUAAGGAAUUAGCAAAAAGUUAAAACGGUAAUCAAACCAGUUUAUGGUAUAGCAAAAAUUAAAAAAAAAA